GCCUUUGUGGUGUAGUGGUAGAGCACGCGUUCACGGAUAGGAUGAAACGCGGGUUCAAAUCCUGGCAGAGGCC
Non-coding RNA from Parelaphostrongylus tenuis, 73 nucleotides. The record is from the annotation of a GenBank genome assembly. Lineage: Eukaryota; Metazoa; Nematoda; Chromadorea; Rhabditida; Metastrongylidae.